AUAAUACUCCAUAGAUUAGAGACACUGGAAUGUUCUUUAGUCGAAAGUUCUGGCGCCUUAGGAUGGAUCUGCGGUCGAUUAGGUUGUUGUUGGGGUAACGGCCCAACAAGCCUGUAAUCGAUACGGGUUGUGGGAGCAAGAGCCCGGAGAUGGAAUCUGAGACACGAUUCCAGGCCCUACGGGGCGCAGCAGGCGCGAAAACUUUACAAUGCAGGAAACUGUGAUAAGGGAACUCCGAGUGCCCGUAUACGCGGGCUGUCCAGGUGUUUAAAAAUCAUCUGAAGAAAGGGCCGGGCAAGACCGGUGCCAGCCGCCGCGGUAAUACCGGCGGCUCGAGUGGUGGCCACUAUUAUUGGGCUUAAAGCGUCCGUAGCUGGACCGAUAAGUCUCUUGGGAAAUCCGCCUGCUCAACCGGCGGGCGUCUAAGGGAUACUGUUAGUCUAGGGACCGGGAGAGGUGAGAGGUACUCCGGGGGUAGGAGUGAAAUCCUGUAAUCCCCGGGGGACCACCGAUGGCGAAGGCAUCUCACCAGAACGGCUCCGACAGUGAGGGACGAAAGCUGGGGGAGCGAACCGGAUUAGAUACCCGGGUAGUCCCAGCCGUAAACUAUGCGCGUUAGGUGU
Molecule: ribosomal RNA, 623 nt
Filed under: uncultured archaeon
Lineage: Archaea
Description: bacterial SSU rRNA
Rfam family: Archaeal small subunit ribosomal RNA
Source: RNAcentral